RNAcentral lists this ribosomal RNA (531 nucleotides) under uncultured bacterium. RNAcentral describes it as "bacterial SSU rRNA". It matches the Rfam family "Bacterial small subunit ribosomal RNA", at positions 542 to 1072 of the family's 1533-position model. The record is from RNAcentral.
UGUUCGGAAUUACUGGGCGUAAAGAGUACGUAGGCGGUUUUUAAGUCAGAGGUGAAAUCCCGGAGCUCAACUCCGGAACUGCCUUUGAAACUGGAAAGCUAGAAUCAUGGAGAGGUUAGUGGAAUUCCGAGUGUAGAGGUGAAAUUCGUAGAUAUUCGGAAGAACACCAGUGGCGAAGGCGACUGACUGGACAUGUAUUGACGCUGAGGUACGAAAGCGUGGGGAGCAAACAGGAUUAGAUACCCUGGUAGUCCACGCCGUAAACGAUGAUAACUAGUUGUUCGGGCACAACGUGCUUGAGUGACGCAGCUAACGCAUUAAGUUAUCCGCCUGGGGAGUACCGUCGCAAGAUUAAAACUCCAAGGAAUUGACGGGGGCCUGCACCAGCCGUGGAACCUGUUGUUUAAUUCCAAACCACGCCGCGAACCUAACCAACGUUUGACAUCCUGGUCGCGGAUCCAGAGAUGAUUCCUCCAGUCUCGGCUGAACAAGUGACAGGUGCUGUUGGCUGUCGUCACUCGUGUCGUGAGA